Molecule: ribosomal RNA, 532 nt
Filed under: uncultured bacterium
Lineage: Bacteria
Description: bacterial SSU rRNA
Rfam family: Bacterial small subunit ribosomal RNA
Source: RNAcentral
AGAGUUUGAUCCUGGCUCAGGAUAAACGCGGCGGGCGCACAUAAGACAUGCAAGUCGAACGGAAGUCGUUACAAAAUGGAAUGACGAUUUAUCUGAGUGAAGUUUUGUAACAAUGGCUUUAGUGGCGGACUGGUGAGUAACACGUAAGCAAUCUGCCUAUUAGAGGGGAAUAACAAUGAGAAAUCAUUGCUAAUACCGCAUAAGCUUGUAGUAUCGCAUGAUACAGCAAGAAAGGGAGUAAUCCGCUAAUAGAUGAGCUUGCGGCUGAUUAGCUAGUUGGUAAGGUAACGGCUUACCAAGGCAACGAUCAGUAGCCGGGCUGAGAGGCUCUGCGGCCACAUUGGGACUGAGAUACGGCCCAGACUCCUACGGGAGGCAGCAGUCGGGAAUAUUGCGCAAUGGAGGAAACUCUGACGCAGUGACGCCGCGUAUAGGAAGAAGGUUUUAGGAUUGUAAACUAUUUUAGUCAGGGAAGAAAAAUGACAGUACCUGAAGAAUAAGCUCCGGCUAACUACGUGCCAGCAGCCGCGGU